GGGGAUUUAGCUCAGUGGUAGAGCGCUUGCCUAGGAAGCGCAAGACCCUGGGUUUGAUCCCUAGCUCCG
Rattus norvegicus (Norway rat) is the source of this 69-nucleotide non-coding RNA. NCBI's taxonomy places the organism in Eukaryota, Metazoa, Chordata, Mammalia, Rodentia, Muridae. The record is from Rfam.